This 718-nucleotide ribosomal RNA is filed under the name uncultured Pseudomonadales bacterium. Its description in RNAcentral is "bacterial SSU rRNA". It matches the Rfam family "Bacterial small subunit ribosomal RNA", at positions 60 to 773 of the family's 1533-position model. Lineage: Bacteria; Pseudomonadati; Pseudomonadota; Gammaproteobacteria; Pseudomonadales. The record is from RNAcentral.
AGUCGAGCGGAUGAGAAGAGCUUGCUCUUCGAUUCAGCGGCGGACGGGUGAGUAAUGCCUAGGAAUCUGCCUGGUAGUGGGGGACAACGUUUCGAAAGGAACGCUAAUACCGCAUACGUCCUACGGGAGAAAGCAGGGGACCUUCGGGCCUUGCGCUAUCAGAUGAGCCUAGGUCGGAUUAGCUAGUUGGUGAGGUAAUGGCUCACCAAGGCGACGAUCCGUAACUGGUCUGAGAGGAUGAUCAGUCACACUGGAACUGAGACACGGUCCAGACUCCUACGGGAGGCAGCAGUGGGGAAUAUUGGACAAUGGGCGAAAGCCUGAUCCAGCCAUGCCGCGUGUGUGAAGAAGGUCUUCGGAUUGUAAAGCACUUUAAGUUGGGAGGAAGGGCAUUAACCUAAUACGUUAGUGUUUUGACGUUACCGACAGAAUAAGCACCGGCUAACUCUGUGCCAGCAGCCGCGGUAAUACAGAGGGUGCAAGCGUUAAUCGGAAUUACUGGGCGUAAAGCGCGCGUAGGUGGUUUGUUAAGUUGGAUGUGAAAGCCCCGGGCUCAACCUGGGAACUGCAUCCAAAACUGGCAAGCUAGAGUACGGUAGAGGGUGGUGGAAUUUCCUGUGUAGCGGUGAAAUGCGUAGAUAUAGGAAGGAACACCAGUGGCGAAGGCGACCACCUGGACUGAUACUGACACUGAGGUGCGAAAGCGUGGGGAGCAAAC